Long non-coding RNA from Cyanistes caeruleus (blue tit), 4737 nucleotides. RefSeq lists it as uncharacterized. NCBI's taxonomy places the organism in Eukaryota, Metazoa, Chordata, Aves, Passeriformes, Paridae. The record is from RefSeq and is a predicted model, not a curated record.
UGGCGGGGCUCGGAAACGGGGCCCGGAACUUAGCUGCUCCGAGCCGGAUUGAAUCGACUGAGAGAUACACGCUUUAUUUACCCACUCACUUUGGGGUCCCAUAUAAAUACUUGUUCACGUAUUAAGUGCUAUUGCGACAAAUGGGGAUCUGUGUUGCUCCUAAUGCCAAAAUCUUUGUGCUAAAAUAACAUUUUUGUGGAGCGAAUUUGCAAGGCAUGAGUGAAAAGCAAACAACUCUCGCCAUGUUUCCAUCUCCAAGACGACCCUUGAGAGUGUCCCCAAACCAAUCGCCGCCCCAACGCUUCAGCGCAGUGCUUGUACUCCAAGCCGGAGGCCGCUUGUCCAAGGAGUCGCCUGUCUACCACAACAAUGCCAAAGUUUUGGUCCUGCCUGAGUCGCACUGGGAUUCCCGCUGGGUGUUUGGUCCGGUGUGGCUCAGGGCAGCGGUCAGGCCUCACCCUGCUCCUGUCUCCACCGGCGGAACCAAACCAAGCUGAGCCGCAUCUCCCGUGCAGAGCUGGGAGCAGAAGGGCAGCGCUGGGCACACCGAGCUGCAGGGUUCCCUCACCCGGGCACGGCAGGCUCCGCACCAGCCCUUCCACGGGAGCGAGUUUGGAUCUGCGCUGCUCCCACCUCCACUGGCAGCUGAGCCCUUCUCCCUUGCCUGUGUGAGCCCAAAUUCCGUGGAAAGGGCAAGCAAGAACGCGCAGUAACUGCAGAGCGCAGUUCACUAAUCCACAGGCUCCAGCUGUGGAUUAGUGUUCCCAGCUGUGUUUGUCUCCUUGGGCUGCUUGCACACCUCAUGGAGAGGAAUGGACCACUUCAGUGUUCUCCAGACCUCCUGUGUGCCAGCACCGUCCUUUCUGAGGCACAAGGCACAACCUUGGAGCAGAGAUUGCAAUCUUUUCUCCAGUCCUUUGCUUCUCCUGGCCUCUAGCUGUGCCUGCCUUGAGAUGUGCCUAUACCCCUCCCAGAUCUCUCACCUUCCUGCCUCACUGCCAGUCCUUCAAGUUUUUCCCGAGAGGAUGCGUGAAACAAAGCACCACACAACCCUGCGUGGGAUGUCUGCACACACGUGAGACUGGCAGCUGCUGCAGUGGGGGACAGACAACGGGGGUGAUGGGUGGGAUGAGUGAAGGAAGAGUCAGAGCUUCAGUGCUGGAAAUGAGGAGAAAAUCCCUGAGGUGGGUGAACACUGUGAACAGCACCAUGAGGCACAAAUGGCACAACAGCUCAAGAGGGAGAGAGAAGAAGCAGUCAGAGCAGCCAGGGAAAUUUGCUUCCCUAAAACACUCACCUUACUUAAAAACGCAUUCCCAACAAUCACCUUCAAACUGUUUCUGAAUGCCCAGAGGUCCAGUUCUGUUCCUCAGUGAGGAGAAGGGCUCAGGUGUGAGUGGUGCAAAUGUAGUGAAAGCUCUAACAUACAACCAGUGAGUUUUAUAAACUUCCUUUGAGCAGAAAAGUCAUCGUUAAGCUGAAAUUGCAGAACUAGUUACAGAGAAAAAACUGCCCCAGAGCACUGAAAGGCUUCAAUAAGUUUAUUUAGGAUAAAAAGGGAAAAAAAGGGCAUGGAAUGUUGCACAACUUUAUUAAGGUGGACUAAAGGUCGAUUAGUGGUCAUACCCUCCUGAAUUAUAGAGCGCCUAGAUUUGAACAGUGGUAAGGAAUUGCACUUUUAAGCACCAGCUCGGUAGAGACUGAACAUGUCAGGCUGGUCCUUAAGCCAUGCACACCUACCUCCUAGGAGCUCCCUGGAAAUGGAGGCUGGGAGCACAGAUAAAUAAAGAGUAAAAUAGAGUAACACCCACACCUUUCAUGGGUGGGCAAGGCUUGAAAGUUGCUCAUAGUCUGAUCAGGCUGGUGCAUCUGGCCUACACUUACAGACCUAAACAGUGAUGUUCCCUCCUCAUUCCCUGCUCCUGAAUGAAGUGCUAACUGUUAUCACCCUUCACCCUUUCCUCUAGAGUCUCUUCUGAGAGCUAGUUUACACCACAAAGAAUUUUCCAGUAUAGUUGUAAUUACAAAAACCACAGGGUCAGCGCAAUUUAUUCCAGUAUCACUUUUGCCAGUAUUGUUAAACCUUUCCUUCAAAUGACAGAAACUAUUUUUGAGAAAGAACUUUUUUUGUUAGUCGUUGUUUAUUUCGACUUUGUUCAGCCUGAUCUUUUCACACUCCUCCCUGACAUAACUAUUUGGCCAAUAGAUUUGGCCUGAACUUCUCCUGAAACUCUCUCUGCACUCUCCCUUUAUUAAAUGCUGUCAUGUGUGGCACAAAGCUGAUGGUUGCCAGGGCCAGUUGUAUGCCGUUUCUUUGGCAGCAUCAACAAAACUGAUUGGUUUAGGAAUCACUGAGGGAAGUGUUUUUCGGUGAAUACUAAAAUCCCAAGCAGUUUAGCAUGGAUACUGUCUGCUAGUAGAAUAAAACCAUCUUCCAGCACUACCAUAAAAUGUUAUUGGUAAAAAUACCAUUUUACUGGUACAAUUGUGUCUCUACCAGAGGCUUCUGUUGACACAGCUAUGCCUGUCAGGGCUGGCAUCUCUUUAGAGCUAUGCUGGUAGACAUCAGUCCUGUAAAUAUGAUCUUGGUCAUUCAGAACACACGUUCACCCCUUUUCGACUCACAGUGACAACUCCAUCACACAACUGCAGUCAGUACAGUUACUCUUAAGACAGUAAAUGCAAAUGAAGAUGCAAAUGCAUGUUGCAAUUCAAAUCAGUGAAACAACAUCAUAUUCUGCUGUUCUUCCCUUACAGCUACUUUAUGCAGAUUCAUAAAAUUUAAGGUCAGAAGAUACCUUUAGGUAACAUAACCUGAGGUAUAACAAAGGUCAAGCAAUUUUAUGUAAUUAAGCCUCAUGACUCAUAAAUAAGCAAGCAUCUUCUAGAAACCAUUUUUGAGUCAAAGACACCAAGUGAAGAAGUCACUAUCUUUCUUUCUAGUUUAUAGCUUUUGCCUCACAGUUUUAAAUCCAGAGCACCGAGAAGUAUUUUGACCUCUGUGAUUCCAUCAUCUGUGCAGGUGCCCCUCCUUGGACUUUCUCCUCUCUGUGAUGCGUUCUUUGAUCAUUCUUUGAUUCCUUUUAUUUGCAUUCUUCCAGGUAACAUUCUAAUCCCUUUUCCAGCAGCAGACCUGCCAUCAGUCUCCUCACAGAGCAGCAUAAACCACCAGGCUGACACACUAAGACAUAUCCUCCCCCCGUUCUGGUGUCCUUUGCAGGGAGAGGGAGAACACCCUUGUGACAGUGUGUGCUCAGUGGCUACUGUCAGCUCUGUGAGUGGGGCUGAAAUCACCUUGGUGGUGUGUAUUUUUAUUUUAUGUUUUCUGUCUGCCACACCAAGUUUUACAUUGCACUGAUCUCCAAGCUCUGUGGAGGUAAAAAGCAUGCCUGGGCACUAACAACUCUGCUUUUGUAAGGUCUGGGAAUGUUGCACAUAUAUAAAUCUUAGCAAAUUUAUUCCAAAAUGCAGAAAGUAAGGGUUUUGACUGAUAUAUAUUUGUCGGUACAAAGGUAUACUUCAUAUUAAAUUCAUGUUAUUAAAGCCCUUACAAGAGAAUCAGCCAAGCAGAAGAUGACAAGCUUAAAAAGAGAUACCAUUGUGAUUACAGAAAGACAAGAAAAACAAACAAAAUUAUCCUUACUUUCAUUCUUUCUAGCCCAUAUAGUGUUUCUGAGUAGCUGGGUUUAACUAUUCCUGCCAGCACAAAAGUAAUCAAUAAAGGAACACCUUGUAUAGAAAUAAUGCAUUUUCUGCAGUUACAGAUAAACAGAACAGAUUCUAACAAAUUCCUAAGGAUCCACUUUCAUUAUUGAAGAAGAUUCUGAAUUUUUAGCUCUGCAAAUAACCAGCUGAAUAGACUGUAAUUCAAUUUUUAUUAAUAUCCAGUUGUAUGUCACAUACCUCAAAGUCCAAGUGUCCCUAUGUAUAGUGUUUCUGAGUACUUGACAUCAGACAGCUGGGAAUUUUCUCAAUAUGAUGUAUAGCAAGUGACUUUAUUGGGGUAAUUUAGGACAGACCCUGUAGAACAUGUAAAAGAGUUCUUGGCUGGGAGCUGUUUCUCCAAAUCUAUCUGAGAAAUGACUUGCAAUCUUACUCAUCUUCACAGGUGCUUGAUGCCAUUGAUUUACAAUUUUAUAUUGCAAUUCUAACAGGUUAGCUGAAAUAGAGCAUACACGUAUGAAGGACAUUAUUGAGUCCAAUAUCUCCAGCUCAGGAGAAUGAGAUAGUUCCCUUUCCCAUUUAAUCAUAAAUGUUUCUUUAGUGGGCAAUAAAGAAAAAGCAAUGGCUUUAUACAAUCACCCCACAAUGUUCUGAGAUUCAUUGCUAAGGAAUAAGAUUUGCUCAGAUAAAAAGGAUUCUCUAAUACAAGUAGAUUUAACAUCAGACUGAAUAAAGGAACUCCUGAACUGGAAGUAAAGAAGCAAAAAGGAAAGUCUAGUAUGUUUCACUUUUGUUGUAUUUCUAAGGGAAAUGUGAAUUUGUUUUUACUGACAGGUUGAGAUAAAUAUUCCAAAUAAAUUAAAUCAGUUCUUUCGGCAGUCUUUAGAGAAAAUAGGAGCAAAAUACACAAUACAGUUAGAAAAAGAGGCAGAUUACUUUUAAAGCUAGUAUAGACUUCAUGACAGGAACAGAGAACUUGGGUUCAGGUCUGGUCAUAAAACCCACAGUUUCCACACCUUCCGAAUCAUGAUCCCUUGGUUUUCAAAGCAUACCUAAAAAGUCAGUUCCCCUUAA